UUGCGUAGGUGGUCUGUUAAGUGAAUAGUGAAAUCUGGGGGGCUCAACCUCACAGACUAUUACUCAAACUGGCAGACUCGAGAAUGGUAGAGGUAACUGGAAUUUCUAGUGUAGGAGUGAAAUCCGUAGAUAUUAGAAGGAACACCAAUGGCGUAGGCAGGUUACUGGACCAUUUCUGACACUGAGGCACGAAAGCGUGGGGAGCGAACG
This 210-nucleotide ribosomal RNA is filed under the name uncultured bacterium. Its description in RNAcentral is "partial 16S ribosomal RNA". It matches the Rfam family "Bacterial small subunit ribosomal RNA", at positions 567 to 774 of the family's 1533-position model. The record is from RNAcentral.